UGGGGAAUAUUGCACAAUGGGGGAAACCCUGAUGCAGCGACGCCGCGUGAAGGAAGAAGUAUCUCGGUAUGUAAACUUCUAUCAGCAGGGAAGAAAAUGACGGUACCUGACUAAGAAGCCCCGGCUAACUACGUGCCAGCAGCCGCGGUAAUACGUAGGGGGCAAGCGUUAUCCGGAUUUACUGGGUGUAAAGGGAGCGUAGACGGAGCAGCAAGUCUGAUGUGAAAGGCGGGGGCUCAACCCCUGGACUGCAUUGGAAACUGUUGGUCUUGAGUACCGGAGAGGUAAGCGGAAUUCCUAGUGUAGCGGUGAAAUGCGUAGAUAUUAGGAGGAACACCAGUGGCGAAGGCGGCUUACUGGACGGUAACUGACGUUGAGGCUCGAAAGCGUGGGGAGCAAACAGG
RNAcentral lists this ribosomal RNA (404 nucleotides) under uncultured Blautia sp. Its description in RNAcentral is "bacterial SSU rRNA". It matches the Rfam family "Bacterial small subunit ribosomal RNA", at positions 355 to 776 of the family's 1533-position model. Lineage: Bacteria; Bacillati; Bacillota; Clostridia; Lachnospirales; Lachnospiraceae. The record is from RNAcentral.